GACGAACGCUGGCGGCGUGCCUAAUACAUGCAAGUCGAACGCACAGUUUAUACCGUAGCUUGCUACACCAUAGACUGUGAGUUGCGAACGGGUGAGUAACGCGUAGGUAACCUGCCUGGUAGCGGGGGAUAACUAUUGGAAACGAUAGCUAAUACCGCAUAAUAUUAAUUAUUGCAUGAUAAUUAAUUGAAAGGUGCAAUUGCACCACUACCAGAUGGACCUGCGUUGUAUUAGCUAGUAGGUGAGGUAACGGCUCACCUAGGCGACGAUACAUAGCCGACCUGAGGGGGUGACCGGCCACACGGGGAGUGAGACACGGCCCAGACCCCUAGGGGAGGCAGCAGUAGGGAAUCUUCGGAAAUGGAGGAAAGUCUGACCGGGCAACCCCGGGGGGGGGAAGAAGGUUUUCGGAUCGUAAAGCUCUUUUGUAAGAGAAGAAGGGGGGGGAGAGGGGAAAGUUCACACUGUGACGGUAUUUUACCAGAAAGGGACGGCUAACUACGU
Molecule: ribosomal RNA, 504 nt
Filed under: uncultured bacterium
Lineage: Bacteria
Description: partial 16S ribosomal RNA
Rfam family: Bacterial small subunit ribosomal RNA
Source: RNAcentral